AGGUGAGGUGCUUUGCUGUAUCCUCCGCAGUAUUCGGUAAGUGCUGUCUUAGGGGGUGUCUGUUCCACCUUGCCCAGCGUGUGUCCUUCAUCUAACUCUCCAGUUAGAGAGUUAAUUUUGUAUCUAGAAGGAAAGACAAGUGUGAAAUCAUUGCUGUAAGAACAGAAUUCUAUGAUUGUGAAUAGUUGUAAUGAAAUCAUGUCUUAAAUUACAUGUGAUAUGAACAAUUGUUCUUUUUCUGCUUUUUCCUGAACAGAACUUUUCUAUCUUUCUCAUAAACUGGUGGAUUUAUAUCCUAGUAAUCCUGUGUCUUGGUUUGCAGUGGGAUGUUACUAUCUCAUGGUCGGUCAUAAAAAUGAACAUGCCAGAAGAUAUCUCAGGUAUGAAUUUAUUUUCUUCCUCUCUAGUUAACCUAUAGAAUUGAUGUCUUGCUCAUAAGCUUUCAAGUAGUAAUUAGUGAGUACUUUAAAAGCAACGUGAAAGAAUAAAUGUUUUUCUUUUUUUCUUCCUUUCUUUUCUUUCUCUCUGUCUUUCUUUCCUUUUCUUUUCCUUCUCGCCUCCCCUCCCCUCUCUCUCGAGAGGUUCUCACUCUGUUGCCCAGACUAGAGUGCAGUGG
Molecule: small RNA, 616 nt
Filed under: Pongo abelii (Sumatran orangutan)
Lineage: Eukaryota; Metazoa; Chordata; Mammalia; Primates; Hominidae
Description: processed transcript
Source: RNAcentral